GACGAACGCUGGCGGCGUGCUUAACACAUGCAAGUCGAACGGAAAGGCCCUGCUUUUGUGGGGUGCUCGAGUGGCGAACGGGUGAGUAACACGUGAGUAACCUGCCCUUGACUUUGGGAUAACUUCAGGAAACUGGGGCUAAUACCGGAUAGGAGCUCCUGCUGCAUGGUGGGGGUUGGAAAGUUUCGGCGGUUGGGGAUGGACUCGCGGCUUAUCAGCUUGUUGGUGGGGUAGGGGCUUACCAAGGCUUUGACGGGUAGCCGGCCUGAGAGGGUGACCGGCCACAUUGGGACUGAGCUACGGCCCAGACUCCUACGGGAGGCAGCAGUGGGGAAUAUUGCACAAUGGGCGGAAGCCUGAUGCAGCAACGCCGCGUGCGGGAUGACGGCCUUCGGGUUGUAAACCGCUUUCGCCUGUGACGAAGCGUGAGUGACGGUAAUGGGUAAAGAAGCACCGGCUAACUACGUG
Molecule: ribosomal RNA, 468 nt
Filed under: uncultured bacterium
Lineage: Bacteria
Description: partial 16S ribosomal RNA
Rfam family: Bacterial small subunit ribosomal RNA
Source: RNAcentral